UGCAAGUCGAACGAGAACGGGUCUAGCUUGCUAGACUGUCAGCUAAGUGGCGGACGGGUGAGUAAUACAUAGCUAACAUGCCCAUUAGAGAGGGAUAACUACUAGAAAUGGUAGCUAAUACUUCAUACUCCUUUAUAUCACAAGAUAUAAAGGGAAAAAUUUAUUGCUAAUGGAUUGGGCUAUGACCUAUCAGCUAGUUGGUAAGGUAAGAGCUUACCAAGGCUAUGACGGGUAACUGGUUUGAGAGGAUGAUCAGUCACACUGGAACUGAGACACGGUCCAGACUUCUACGGAAGGCAGCAGUAGGGAAUAUUGCACAAUGGGGGAAACCCUGAUGCAGCAACGCCGCGUGGAGGAUGACGCAUUUCGGUGUGUAAACUCCUUUUAACAAGGAAGAUAAUGACGGUACUUGUUGAAUAAGGACCGGCUAACUCCGUGCCAGCAGCCGCGGUAAUACGGAGGGUCCAAGCGUUACUCGGAAUUACUGGGCGUAAAGGGUGCGUAGGCGGAUUAAUAAGUCAGAUGUGAAAUCCUAUGGCUCAACCAUAGAACUGCAUUUGAAACUGUUAGUCUAGAGUCCGGAAGGGGCAGAUGGAAUUAGUAGUGUAGGGGUAAAAUCCGUAGAUAUUACUAGGAAUACCAAAAGCGAAGGCGAUCUGCUAGUACGGUACUGACGCUAAGGCACGAAAGCGUGGGGAGCAAACAGGAUUAGAUACCCUGGUAGUCCACGCCCUAAACGAUGAAUGCUAGUCGUUGGCACCACAGGUGUCAGUGAUGCAGCUAACGCAAUAAGCAUUCCGCCUGGGGAGUACGGUCGCAAGAUUAAAACUCAAAGGAAUAGACGGGG
This 847-nucleotide ribosomal RNA is filed under the name uncultured bacterium. RNAcentral describes it as "bacterial SSU rRNA". It matches the Rfam family "Bacterial small subunit ribosomal RNA", at positions 56 to 918 of the family's 1533-position model. The record is from RNAcentral.